GAGGCUAUAGCUCAGUGGUAGAGAGCAUGCUUAGCAUGCACAAGGUCCUGGGUUCAAUCCCCAGUAUCUCA
Molecule: transfer RNA, 71 nt
Filed under: Camelus bactrianus (Bactrian camel)
Lineage: Eukaryota; Metazoa; Chordata; Mammalia; Artiodactyla; Camelidae
Also listed under: 2 other names
Rfam family: tRNA
About the family: Transfer RNA (tRNA) molecules are approximately 80 nucleotides in length. Their secondary structure includes four short double-helical elements and three loops (D, anti-codon, and T loops).
Source: Rfam by way of RNAcentral